GGAUGGCAUAGUGGUUUGUGCAUUGGACUACAACUCCAAAGACCAGGGUUCAUAUCCCUGCUAAUCCA
This is a non-coding RNA of Phrynosoma platyrhinos (Desert horned lizard), 68 nucleotides long. NCBI's taxonomy places the organism in Eukaryota, Metazoa, Chordata, Lepidosauria, Squamata, Phrynosomatidae. The record is from the annotation of a GenBank genome assembly.